GUUUUAAUAAUUUAAUUAAAAAUAUUGGUCUUGUAAACCAAAUAUAAGUCUUUCUUUUAAAACU
Molecule: transfer RNA, 64 nt
Filed under: Annamanum lunulatum
Lineage: Eukaryota; Metazoa; Arthropoda; Insecta; Coleoptera; Cerambycidae
Description: tRNA-Thr
Source: RNAcentral